This 519-nucleotide ribosomal RNA is filed under the name uncultured bacterium. Its description in RNAcentral is "bacterial SSU rRNA". It matches the Rfam family "Bacterial small subunit ribosomal RNA", at positions 9 to 523 of the family's 1533-position model. The record is from RNAcentral.
GAGUUUGAUCAUGGCUCAGAUUGAACGCNGGCGGCAGGCCUAACACAUGCAAGUCGAGCGGAUGACGNGAGCUUGCUCNUGAAUUCAGCGGCGGACGGGUGAGUAAUGCCUAGGAAUCUGCCUGGUAGUGGGGGACAACGUUUCGAAAGGAACGCUAAUACCGCAUACGUCCUACGGGAGAAAGCAGGGGACCUUCGGGCCUUGCGCUAUCAGAUGAGCCUAGGUCGGAUUAGCUAGUUGGUGAGGUAAUGGCUCACCAAGGCGACGAUCCGUAACUGGUCUGAGAGGAUGAUCAGUCACACUGGAACUGAGACACGGUCCAGACUCCUACGGGAGGCAGCAGUGGGGAAUAUUGGACAAUGGGCGAAAGCCUGAUCCAGCCAUGCCGCGUGUGUGAAGAAGGUCUUCGGAUUGUAAAGCACUUUAAGUUGGGAGGAAGGGCAGUAAAUUAAUACUUUGCUGUUUUGACGUUACCGACAGAAUAAGCACCGGCUAACUCUGUGCCAGCAGCCGCGGUAC